RNAcentral lists this ribosomal RNA (480 nucleotides) under uncultured soil bacterium. RNAcentral's name for it is "bacterial SSU rRNA". It matches the Rfam family "Bacterial small subunit ribosomal RNA", at positions 26 to 505 of the family's 1533-position model. The record is from RNAcentral.
AGAUUGAACGCUGGCGGCAUGCCUAACACAUGCAAGUCGAACGGGAGUAGCAAUACUCUAGUGGCGGACGGGUGAGGAAUACGUAGGAAUUUGCCCUUAAGUGGGGGAUAACCCGGGGAAACCCGGAUUAAUACCGCAUGACCUCGAAAGAGCAAAGUGGGGGAUCGCAAGACCUCACGCUUUUGGAGAAGCCUACGUCGGAUUAGCUAGUUGGUGAGGUAAUGGCUCACCAAGGCGACGAUCCGUAACUGGUCUGAGAGGAUGAUCAGUCACACCGGAACUGAGACACGGUCCGGACUCCUACGGGAGCAGCAGUGGGAAUAUUGGACAAUGGGCGCAAGCCUGAUCCAGCAAUGCCGCGUGUGUGAAGAAGGCCUUCGGUUGUAAAGUCGACGUUUAAGUUAGGAAAGAAAAACGUACGACGUACUAACACAGUAGAGUCUUGACGGUACCGACAGAAUAAGACACCGACUAACGUCU